AUCUGUCUGGUCGGAUGACAACAAAGAGAAUGGAGGAAGCAAGUUCCCAUUUGCAGGCGACUUCACUUCUGUCUAAUCGGGUGACAACGAGGAUGGAGGAAGCAGGUUCCACUUUGCAGUCGCUCCUAUCUGGUGGGGUGAUGACAAGAAGGAUGGAGGAAGCAAGUCCUAUUUUGCAGGCAACACUCCUUCCAUCUGGUCGGGUAUCAAGGAUGGAUGAAGCAAGUCCCAAUUUGCAGGCAACAUGGAGCCCUUCUCCUACUAAUGACAGAAUUGGACUUCAUUCACACAUUACCGCAACUGCUGAUCAUCAACAUACUCGACC
This 325-nucleotide long non-coding RNA is filed under the name Nicotiana tabacum (common tobacco). RNAcentral describes it as "long non-coding RNA (NTAB_LNC017591)". The record is from RNAcentral. Lineage: Eukaryota; Viridiplantae; Streptophyta; Magnoliopsida; Solanales; Solanaceae.